GACGAACGCUGGCGGCGUGCUUAACACAUGCAAGUCGAGCGGUAAGGCCCUUUCGGGGGUACACGAGCGGCGAACGGGUGAGUAACACGUGGGUGACCUGCCCUUAGCUCUGGGAUAAGCCUGGGAAACUGGGUCUAAUACCGGAUAUGACUCCAUGACGCAUGUUGUGGGGUGGAAAGCCUUGUGCGGCUAGGGAUGGGCCCGCGGCCUAUCAGCUUGUUGGUGGGGUGAUGGCCUACCAAGGCGACGACGGGUAGCCGGCCUGAGAGGGCGACCGGCCACACUGGGACGUGAGACACGGCCCAGACUCCUACGGGAGGCAGCAGUGGGGAAUCUUGCGCAAUGGGCGAAAGCCUGACGCAGCGACGCCGCGUGAGGGAUGACGGCCU
This 389-nucleotide ribosomal RNA is filed under the name uncultured bacterium. RNAcentral's name for it is "bacterial SSU rRNA". It matches the Rfam family "Bacterial small subunit ribosomal RNA", at positions 28 to 417 of the family's 1533-position model. The record is from RNAcentral.